AGCGAACGCUGGCGGCAGGCCUAACACAUGCAAGUCGAACGAACCUUUCGGGGUUAGUGGCGGACGGGUGAGUAACACGUGGGAACGUGCCUUUAGGUUCGGAAUAACUCAGGGAAACUUGUGCUAAUACCGCAUGUGCCCUUCGGGGGAAAGAUUAAUCGCCUUUAGAGCGGCCCGCGUCUGAUUAGCUAGUUGGGUGAGGUAAUGGCUCACCAAGGCGACGAUCAGUAGCUGGUCUGAGAGGAUGAUCAGCCACAUUGGGACUGAGACACGGCCCAAACUCCUACGGGAGGCAGCAGUGGGGAAUCUUGCGCAAUGGGCGAAAGCCUGACGCAGCCAUGCCGCGUGAAUGAUGAAGGUCUUAGGAUUGUAAAAUUCUUUCACCGGGGACGAUAAUGACGGUACCCGGAGAAGAAGCCCCGGCUAACUUCGUG
This 434-nucleotide ribosomal RNA is filed under the name uncultured bacterium. Its description in RNAcentral is "partial 16S ribosomal RNA". It matches the Rfam family "Bacterial small subunit ribosomal RNA", at positions 29 to 507 of the family's 1533-position model. The record is from RNAcentral.